This 391-nucleotide unclassified non-coding RNA is filed under the name soil metagenome. Its description in RNAcentral is "partial contains 5.8S ribosomal RNA, internal transcribed spacer 2, and large subunit ribosomal RNA". The stretch from base 1 to 122 matches the Rfam family "5.8S ribosomal RNA", at positions 35 to 154 of the family's 154-position model. The record is from RNAcentral.
GAUGAAGAACGCAGCGAAAUGCGAUGCUUGGUGUGAAUUGCAGAAUCCCGUGAACCAUCGAGUCUUUGAACGCAAGUUGCGCCCGAAGCCAUUAGGCCGAGGGCACGCCUGCCUGGGCGUCACACGUCGUUGCCCCCCCAUCUACUCCUUCGGGAUUGCGGGGGGCGGAUGAUGGCCUCCCGUGCGCCUCGCCGCGCGGUUGGCAUAAAUGCCAAGUCCUCGGCGACGCACGCCACGACAAUCGGUGGUUGCGAAACCUCGGUUGCCCGUCGUGUGCGGUCGUCGCGCAUCGAGGGCUCGAAAAAAUUGCCGGGUUCCGGCUCGGCUUUCAACGCGACCCCAGGUCAGGCGGGGUUACCCGCUGAAUUUAAGCAUAUCAAUAAGCGGAGGA